AAAUAGAUACCCAGGUAGUCCACGCCGUAAACGGUGGGUACUAGGUGUGGGUUUCCUUCCUUGGGAUCCGUGCCGUAGCUAACGCAUUAAGUACCCCGCCUGGGGAGUACGGCCGCAAGGCUAAAACUCAAAGGAAUUGACGGGGCCCGCACAAGCGGCGGAGCAUGUGGAUUAAUUCGAUGCAACGCGAAGAACCUUACCUGGGUUUGACAUGCACAGGACGCCGGCAGAGAUGUCGGUUCCCUUGUGGCCUGUGUGCAGGUGGUGCAUGGCUGUCGUCAGCUCGUGUCGUGAGAUGUUGGGUUAAGUCCCGCAACGAGCGCAACCCUUGUCCUAUGUUGCCAGCGGGUUAUGCCGGGGACUCGUAGGAGACUGCCGGGGUCAACUCGGAGGAAGGUGGGGAUGACGUCAAGUCAUCAUGCCCCUUAUGUCCAGGGCUUCACACAUGCUACAAUGGCCGGUACAAAGGGCUGCGAUGCCGUGAGGUGGAGCGAAUCCUUGGUAAAGCCGGUCUCAGUUCGGAUCGGGGUCUGCAACGUCCG
RNAcentral lists this ribosomal RNA (542 nucleotides) under uncultured bacterium. RNAcentral's name for it is "bacterial SSU rRNA". It matches the Rfam family "Bacterial small subunit ribosomal RNA", at positions 776 to 1314 of the family's 1533-position model. The record is from RNAcentral.